AUGCAAGUCGAGCGAGAAAGCCUUCGGGUGAGUAGAGCGGCGGACGGGUGAGUAAUGCGUGGGAAUCUGCCUGGUAGUGGGGGACAACCGUUGGAAACGACGGCUAAUACCGCAUACGCCCUACGGGGGAAAGCGGGGGAUCUUCGGACCUCGUGCUAUCAGAUGAGCCCACGUCAGAUUAGCUAGUUGGUGGGGUAAUGGCCUACCAAGGCGACGAUCUGUAGCUGGUCUGAGAGGAUGAUCAGCCACACUGGGACUGAGACACGGCCCAGACUCCUACGGGAGGCAGCAGUGGGGAAUAUUGCACAAUGGGGGAAACCCUGAUGCAGCCAUGCCGCGUGUGUGAAGAAGGCCCUAGGGUUGUAAAGCACUUUAAGCAGUGAGGAAAGGGUUAAGUUUAAUACGCUUAAUCUGUGACGUUAACUGCAGAAUAAGCACCGGCUAACUCCGUGCCAGCAGCCGCGGUAAUACGGAGGGUGCGAGCGUUAAUCGGAAUUACUGGGCGUAAAGCGCACGUAGGCGGUCUUUUAAGCGAGGUGUGAAAGCCCCGGGCUCAACCUGGGAACGGCACUUCGAACUGGGAGACUAGAGUAUGGUAGAGGAUAGUGGAAUUUCAGGUGUAGCGGUGAAAUGCGUAGAGAUCUGAAGGAACAUCAGUGGCGAAGGCGACUGUCUGGACCAAUACUGACGCUGAGGUGCGAAAGCGUGGGUAGCAAACAGGAUUAGAUACCCUGGUAGUCCACGCCGUAAACGAUGUCUACUAGCCGUAGGGCUCCUUGAGGGCUUUGUGGCGUAGCUAACGCGCUAAGUAGACCGCCUGGGGA
Molecule: ribosomal RNA, 824 nt
Filed under: uncultured bacterium
Lineage: Bacteria
Description: bacterial SSU rRNA
Rfam family: Bacterial small subunit ribosomal RNA
Source: RNAcentral